UGGGGAAUCUUGGACAAUGGGGGAAACCCUGAUCCAGCCAUGCCGCGUGAAUGAUGAAGGCCUUCGGGUUGUAAAGUUCUUUCGCACGCGACGAUAAUGACGGUAGCGUGAGAAGAAGCUCCGGCUAACUUCGUGCCAGCAGCCGCGGUAAUACGAAGGGGGCUAGCGUUGUUCGGAAUUACUGGGCGUAAAGCGCGCGCAGGCGGCUAUCCAAGUCAGAGGUGAAAGCCCGGAGCUUAACUCCGGAAUUGCCCCUGAGACUGAAUGGCUUCGAGUACGGGAGAGGUGAGUGGAAUUCCGAGUGUAGAGGUGAAAUUCGUAGAUAUUCGGAAGAACACCGGUGGCGAAGGCGGCUCACUGGCCCGUUACUGACGCUCAGGCGCGACAGCGUGGGGAUCAAACAGGAUUAGAUACCCCUGUAGUCC
Molecule: ribosomal RNA, 425 nt
Filed under: uncultured bacterium
Lineage: Bacteria
Description: bacterial SSU rRNA
Rfam family: Bacterial small subunit ribosomal RNA
Source: RNAcentral